AGGCGCGUAGCUCAGUUGGUUAGAGCACUACCUUGACAUGGUGGGGGUCGUUGGUUCGAGUCCAAUCGCGCCUACCA
Molecule: transfer RNA, 77 nt
Filed under: Thioalkalivibrio sp. K90mix
Lineage: Bacteria; Pseudomonadati; Pseudomonadota; Gammaproteobacteria; Chromatiales; Ectothiorhodospiraceae
Description: tRNA-Val (GAC) (tRNA-Val-GAC-1-1)
Rfam family: tRNA
About the family: Transfer RNA (tRNA) molecules are approximately 80 nucleotides in length. Their secondary structure includes four short double-helical elements and three loops (D, anti-codon, and T loops).
Source: RNAcentral